RNAcentral lists this ribosomal RNA (465 nucleotides) under uncultured bacterium. RNAcentral describes it as "partial 16S ribosomal RNA". It matches the Rfam family "Bacterial small subunit ribosomal RNA", at positions 28 to 507 of the family's 1533-position model. The record is from RNAcentral.
GACGAACGCUGGCGGCGUGCUUAACACAUGCAAGUCGUACGGUAAGGCCCUUUCGGGGGUACACGAGUGGCGAACGGGUGAGUAACACGUGAGUAACCUGCCCACAAAUUUGGGAUAACGCUAGGAAACUGGUGCUAAUACUGGAUAUGUGCUCCUGCUGCAUGGUGGGGGUUGGAAAGCUCCGGCGGUUGUGGAUGGACUCGCGGCCUAUCAGCUUGUUGGUGGGGUAGUGGCCUACCAAGGCGGCGACGGGUAGCCGGCCUGAGAGGGUGACCGGCCACAUUGGGACUGAGAUACGGCCCAGACUCCUACGGGAGGCAGCAGUGGGGAAUAUUGCACAAUGGGCGCAAGCCUGAUGCAGCAACGCCGCGUGCGGGAUGACGGCCUUCGGGUUGUAAACCGCUUUCAGCAGGGACGAAGCUUUUUGUGACGGUACCUGCAGAAGAAGCACCGGCUAACUACGUG